GGUGGAGCAUGUGGUUUAAUUCGAUGCAACGCGAAGAACCUUACCUGGUCUUGACAUCCACGGAAGUUUUCAGAGAUGAGAAUGUGCCUUCGGGAACCGUGAGACAGGUGCUGCAUGGCUGUCGUCAGCUCGUGUUGUGAAAUGUUGGGUUAAGUCCCGCAACGAGCGCAACCCUUAUCCUUUGUUGCCAGCGGUCCGGCCGGGAACUCAAAGGAGACUGCCAGUGAUAAACUGGAGGAAGGUGGGGAUGACGUCAAGUCAUCAUGGCCCUUACGACCAGGGCUACACACGUGCUACAAUGGCGCAUACAAAGAGAAGCGACCUCGCGAGAGCAAGCGGACCUCAUAAAGUGCGUCGUAGUCCGGAUUGGAGUCUGCAACUCGACUCCAUGAAGUCGGAAUCGCUAGUAAUCGUGGAUCAGAAUGCCACGGUGAAUACGUUCCCGGGCCUUGUACACACCGCCCGUCACACCAUGGGAGUGGGUUGCAAAAGAAGUAGGUAGCUUAACCUUCGGGAGGGCGCUUACCACUUUGUGAUUCAUGACUGGGGUGAAGUCGUAACAAGGUAACCGUAGGGGAACCUGCGGUUGGAUCACCUCCUUACCUUAAAGAAGC
RNAcentral lists this ribosomal RNA (614 nucleotides) under Shigella flexneri. RNAcentral's name for it is "bacterial SSU rRNA". It matches the Rfam family "Bacterial small subunit ribosomal RNA", at positions 931 to 1533 of the family's 1533-position model. Lineage: Bacteria; Pseudomonadati; Pseudomonadota; Gammaproteobacteria; Enterobacterales; Enterobacteriaceae. The record is from RNAcentral.